This 137-nucleotide ribosomal RNA is filed under the name Mycobacterium gordonae. RNAcentral's name for it is "partial 16S ribosomal RNA". It matches the Rfam family "Bacterial small subunit ribosomal RNA", at positions 1400 to 1533 of the family's 1533-position model. RNAcentral also lists the same sequence under 1 other name. Lineage: Bacteria; Bacillati; Actinomycetota; Actinomycetes; Mycobacteriales; Mycobacteriaceae. The record is from RNAcentral.
CGUCAUGAAAGUCGGUAACACCCGAAGCCAGUGGCCUAACCCUUUGGGAGGGAGCUGUCGAAGGUGGGAUCGGCGAUUGGGACGAAGUCGUAACAAGGUAGCCGUACCGGAAGGUGCGGCUGGAUCACCUCCUUUCU